AAACCCAGAGAGAAGACUAUAGGUGCAACAGUGGAUCUUUAAAAGCAUUUGAAUUAUUACCAUAAUUAUAAGAAAGAACUUUCCACAACAUGGUUUUCUGAGUAGCUCAUCCCUAGGGCCUGUAUAAAUACAUAUGUAUCUUCAUACCAAAUCUAUCUGUACACUGUAUAUCACUUACAUCAUCACCCUCUGACCCAAUUAUAUUCAGAAUUCAAAAGCAGGGAGCAUCAAAGUUUGCCUUAGUGAAGGAAAAGGGAAGACAUGCACACCAGUGACCAAAGGGAACAUUUCCUCCUGCUCGCAUGAGGUGUGCUUUGUCCACAAGGCCAUCCAAACAUCCACAUAGGCACCUUUCUUGUAUAUUUUCUUGCCCCAAGAAUAUAGAUUCACAGCCUUAGAGAAGUCGCCAGUCGUACCGCUAAUGUGGAUGUAGAGGCAAAGAAUACACGAUGGAAAAAAUUCGUGUUUUUUUCAUGGGGAAAAAACUUAGAGUACUGAUAACCUCUUUGCUUUUCUGGAGCAGGGUAUAAAAUAUCAAAAAUUCAAGAGCCCACCUCUUACUUUUUGAUCUAAAAUAAACAAGCUGUCCCCAAGUGGCUCCCUUUACCUGCAGUGAACCAAGCAGGUCUUGCUUGCUGUCACCUCCCCUGACACCCUAGGCAGGCUCAGGACAGAACAACUUGGCUCGCGCUGAGAAUACUCAAAAAGAACCUUCUCAGUUGCAUCUUGGAAUGCCCAUGCUGAGUCCAGCUGCCUUCUGAACCUGACUAGACCCUAAAGAACUGAGGCUGGAGAUGAGACGAUCUGCAGGCAGCUUCCCAAAUCUAAGCUGAGCCAGGCGGGGCAGAUGAAGAAAACACAGCCAUGCAGAGACUAAGGCAGAGGGAUGUUAUCAGUUUGGCCGAUGCAGCAGAAUUUCCUAAAGCCUUGCCCAGAAGAUUAUAAAAAGAGGCAGGGAACUGUUUCAUAUUCGGGGAAAAUGCUUUGUAAGGCUUCUAACAGGUGUCAGCCCCAGACCACCUUAACAGAAAGCUGGCCAGGGAUGUGACAGCAGCUAAAGCUGCUGGCCAGAAAGACAGCUGGAAAAGACGGGACUAAUAUUAACCACUCUGCUGAAAUCGCUAAUUGGCAUAUCUGACAUGGGUC
This 1146-nucleotide long non-coding RNA is filed under the name Bos taurus (domestic cattle). RNAcentral describes it as "long non-coding RNA NONBTAT024128". Lineage: Eukaryota; Metazoa; Chordata; Mammalia; Artiodactyla; Bovidae. The record is from RNAcentral.